AUCCCUUGACAUCCUGCGAACUUUCUAGAGAUAGAUUGGUGCCUUCGGGAACGCAGUGACAGGUGCUGCAUGGCUGUCGUCAGCUCGUGUCGUGAGAUGUUGGGUUAAGUCCCGCAACGAGCGCAACCCUUAUCUUUAGUUGCUACCAUUUAGUUGAGAACUCUAAAGAGACUGCCGGUGAUAAACCGGAGGAAGGCGGGGACGACGUCAAGUCAUCAUGGCCCUUAUGGGAUGGGCUACACACGUGCUACAAUGGAGGGUACAAAGAGCAGCCAACUGGCGACAGUGCGCGAAUCUCAUAAAACCUCUCGUAGUCCGGAUCGGAGUCUGCAACUCGACUCCGUGAAGUCGGAAUCGCUAGUAAUCGUGAAUCAGAAUGUCACGGUGAAUACGUUCCCGGGCCU
Molecule: ribosomal RNA, 404 nt
Filed under: uncultured bacterium
Lineage: Bacteria
Description: bacterial SSU rRNA
Rfam family: Bacterial small subunit ribosomal RNA
Source: RNAcentral